CCCCCUAUGUUUCCACCUUCAGGUUUUAGGAUGAAGAACAAGCGCAAAAAUGGGAAAAAUAUGGGAGAAGCCUCAGUUGUUUAUUAACGUGUAUCCUCCAUUUAUGAUCCAUUCCUGGCUUUAAAAAAGCAUAUAAAAAACUGAAUGUGGAAACACACCCAAAAACACGUUUUAAAAGGUUGCAGUGCGGCCCUAGACAUCACUAGUCAGGUGAUCAGAGGGAGCCAGUCUUUGCUUCAAUGGGUGGAACGACCGCUUGGUGGGAGAUGAUUUUACAAGAAUUUGCAACGGCUGGAGUCACCCUGGUCAGAAAACACUUGUCUAUUGCAUUGAAGGCAGCACAGAUUUUCAGACUUUUUUUGGACCUAACAAUGGACUAGAAGACACUGACAUUACGUCUCCGACCGAAUACAUGGUUACAUACGAUUUGAAUGUUAGGAUUGGAUCCAGCCCCUCCAUAUAAACUAUAGAUUCCUGCUAAUUGGAUGACAGUGACUCAGCAGGAAAUUCUCACUGCAUGCGACUUGUGCAGGUCGCACUUCACCAAAUAUAAAUGGAAGAUUAGUUCCGGUGUGGAGAGCACUUCACUGCUAAAAGGUUAUGUCACCUCGGGAUAAGAAGAACAGGAUUAUCCCGCUGCGGCUGUGAAGAGAACCAGGUGACCUCCGAUCCAGUUCUGCAAAUCGACAGACGAUCCCUGAGACCAUCUUCCAGGUAGCGUUGCUAAGCACCUGUGACGUCACCUACAACUCAGUUUUUCAGAGGCCCGCACCUGUUCUUCUGCUGAGAUACCACCCACAGCGAAUAACAUCCGAAAGCGCCUAUUUCUCCAACUGGCCCGUGGCAGGCGGACCGCCGCUGAGACGCAUGCCAGCGUCUGGUACCAUCUCAAAAGUGUGGAUCUCAACUUCUGAAAGCGGCUAAUUUUCCAACUGGCCCGUGGCAGGCGGACCGCCGCUAAGACGCAUGCCAGCGUCUGCUACCAUCUUAAAAGUGCGGACCUCACAACAUAAGUCCAGGUGACAAGUAUAUUGCAGACUGGUAAUUAUAAAUUCACCCCAUUCACCUAUAUUGUUAUGGAAUUUACAACAUUUAUAGGACUUGAGCUCACUUUCCAGAUCAACGGAGGCCGGAUCAUCCAAAGGGACAUUAAAAUUGUUACAUUCCUAUACAUUUUCUAUGCAAGUUAUCGGUGUUUGUUGAUAUUG
Long non-coding RNA from Hyla sarda, 1208 nucleotides. RefSeq lists it as uncharacterized. The transcript is spliced from 4 exons. Lineage: Eukaryota; Metazoa; Chordata; Amphibia; Anura; Hylidae. The record is from RefSeq and is a predicted model, not a curated record.